Molecule: ribosomal RNA, 1415 nt
Filed under: uncultured organism
Description: bacterial SSU rRNA
Rfam family: Bacterial small subunit ribosomal RNA
Source: RNAcentral
AACGCUGGCGGCGUGGCUAAAACAUGCAAGUCGCACGGAAAGGCUCCGACCGAUCCUUCGGGUGAAGUUGGAGCGCUCGAGUGGCGAAAGGGCGAGGAAUACAUGGGUAACGUACCCCGAGCACAGGGAUAGCCGCGGGAAACUGCGGGUAAUACCUGAUAAGACCACGACACUCACGGGUGUUGUGCUCAAAGGGUGGCCUCUACUUGUAAGCUACCGGCCCGGGAGCGGCCCAUGUCCUAUCAGCUUGUUGGUGAGGUAACGGCUCACCAAGGCAACGACGGGUACCGGGACUGAGAGGUUGGUCCGGCGCAUUGGGACUGAGACACUGCCCAGGCUCCUACGGGAGGCUGCAGUAACGAAUAUUGGACAAUGGGCGAAAGCCUGAUCCAGCGACGCCGCGUGCAGGAUGAAGUCCUUCGGGAUGUAAACUGCUGUCAGGGAUUACCAAGCAAGGGAGGCGAAUAGUCUCCUGCGUUGAGGCGUCCCAGAGGAAGUCACGGCUAACUUCGUGCCAGCAGCCGCGGUAAGACGAAGGUGGCAAGCGUUGUUCGGAAUCACUGGGCUUAAAGAGCACGUAGGCGGGUUGUCAAGCGUCUUGUGAAAGCCCUCGGCUCAACCGAGGAAUGGCUGGGCGAACUGACAACCUUGAGGCAGGUAGGGGCAACUGGAACUCUUGGUGGAGCGGUGGAAUGCGUAGAUAUCAAGAGGAACGCCAGAGGCGAAGGCGAGUUGCUGGGCCUGUCCUGACGCUGAGGUGCGAAAGCCAGGGGAGCGAACGGGAUUAGAUACCCCGGUAGUCCUGGCCCUAAACGAUGUCCACUAGGUCGGAGGCACACUGACGUGGUUCUGGCCGAAAUGAAAACGAUAAGUGGACCGCCUGGGGAGUACGGUCGCAAGGCUAAAACUCAAAGGAAUUGACGGGGGCUCACACAAGCGGUGGAGCAUGUUGCUUAAUUCGAUGCAACGCGAAGAACCUUAUCCUGGGCUUGACAUAUUCGGAUGCCCCCUUGGAAACAAGGUCGGCUGCCCUUCGGGGUGAAACGUAUACAGGUGCUGCAUGGCUGUCGUCAGCUCGUGUCGUGAGAUGUUGGGUUAAGUCCCGUAACGAGCGAAACCCUUGUCGUUAGUUGCCAGCGAGUAAUGUCGGGGACUCUAACGAGACUGCCGGUGUCAAACCGGAGGAAGGUGGGGAUGACGUCAAGUCCUCAUGGCCUUUAUGCCCAGGGCUGCAAACGUGCUACAAUGACCGGUACAAACCGAAGCAAGACCGUGAGGUGGAGCAAAUCGGAAAAAGCCGGCCUCAGUUCGGAUUGGAGUCUGCAACUCGACUCCAUGAAGUCGGAAUCGCUAGUAAUCGCGUAUCAGCAUGACGCGGUGAAUGAGUUCCUGAGCAUUGUACACACCGCCCGUCA